Molecule: non-coding RNA, 206 nt
Filed under: Paenibacillus selenitireducens
Lineage: Bacteria; Bacillati; Bacillota; Bacilli; Caryophanales; Paenibacillaceae
Source: RNAcentral
UACAUAUCGUGAUGAACGGGUUCUUUGCACGUUUAGGAGAUAGAGUGCAAAGAUUAAUAGGGAAGCUCGGUUAAAAUCCGGCGCGGUCCCGCCACUGUGAUAGAAGAGUGUCGUCCAAGAACCACUGAUUAGUACAAAUUAAUCGGGAAGGUGGACGGACACGAUGACGCUAGAGCCAGGAGACCUGCCUGUCAUCAGCACACAAU